This 87-nucleotide transfer RNA is filed under the name Oltmannsiellopsis viridis. RNAcentral's name for it is "tRNA-Arg". It matches the Rfam family "tRNA". Rfam says of the family: Transfer RNA (tRNA) molecules are approximately 80 nucleotides in length. Their secondary structure includes four short double-helical elements and three loops (D, anti-codon, and T loops). The record is from RNAcentral. Lineage: Eukaryota; Viridiplantae; Chlorophyta; Ulvophyceae; Oltmannsiellopsidales; Oltmannsiellopsidaceae.
GGAGAGAUGGCUGAGUGGCUGAAAGCGACUGAUUCCUAAUCAGUUAUACAUUUAUUUGUAUCGAGGGUUCGAAUCCCUCUCUCUCUG